AGCUGGCGCUGUGCUUAACACAUGCAAGUCGAACGAUGAACCUGGAGCUUGCUCUAGGGGAUUAGUGGCGAACGGGUGAGUAACACGUGAGUAACCUGCCCUUGACUCUGGGAUAACCUCCGGAAACGGAAGCUAAUACCGGAUAUGACGUACGGAGGCAUCUCCUGUACGUGGAAAGAAUUUCGGUCAAGGAUGGACUCGCGGCCUAUCAGGUAGUUGGUGAGGUAACGGCUCACCAAGCCUACGACGGGUAGCCGGCCUGAGAGGGUGACCGGCCACACUGGGACUGAGACACGGCCCAGACUCCUACGGGAGGCAGCAGUGGGGAAUAUUGCACAAUGGGCGCAAGCCUGAUGCAGCAACGCCGCGUGAGGGAUGACGGCCUUCGGGUUGUAAACCUCUUUUAGUAGGGAAGAAGCGAAAGUGACGGUACCUGCAGAAAAAGCACCGGCUAACUACGUGCCAGCAGCCGCGGUAAUACGUAGGGUGCGAGCGUUGUCCGGAAUUAUUGGGCGUAAAGAGCUCGUAGGCGGUCUGUCGCGUCUGCUGUGAAAACCCGAGGCUCAACCUCGGGCCUGCAGUGGGUACGGGCAGACUAGAGUGCGGUAGGGGAGAAUGGAAUUCCUGGUGUAGCGGUGGAAUGCGCAGAUAUCAGGAGGAACACCGAUGGCGAAGGCAGUUCUCUGGGCCGUAACUGACGCUGAGGAGCGAAAGCGUGGGGAGCGAACAGGAUUAGAUACCCUGGUAGUCCACGCCGUAAACGUUGGGCGCUAGAUGUGGGGACCAUUCCACGGUUUCCGUGUCGCAGCUAACGCAUUAAGCGCCCCGCCUGGGGAGUAC
Molecule: ribosomal RNA, 840 nt
Filed under: actinobacterium KV-413
Lineage: Bacteria; Bacillati; Actinomycetota; Actinomycetes
Description: bacterial SSU rRNA
Rfam family: Bacterial small subunit ribosomal RNA
Source: RNAcentral